This 839-nucleotide ribosomal RNA is filed under the name uncultured Methanomicrobiaceae archaeon. RNAcentral's name for it is "bacterial SSU rRNA". It matches the Rfam family "Archaeal small subunit ribosomal RNA", at positions 79 to 922 of the family's 1478-position model. Lineage: Archaea; Methanobacteriati; Methanobacteriota; Methanomicrobia; Methanomicrobiales; Methanomicrobiaceae. The record is from RNAcentral.
CGGCAUACUGCUCAGUUAACACGUGGACAACCUAACCUAUUGAAGGGGAUAACCCCGGGAAACUGGGGAUAAUACCCUAUAGACUAUGGAAGCUGGAAUGCUCUGUAGCCGAAAGGUCCGCCGCCAUAGGAUGGGUCUGCGGCCGAUUAGGUUGUUGUUGGGGUAACGGCCCAACAAGCCUGUAAUCGGUACGGGUUGUGGGAGCAAGAGCCCGGAGAUGGAUUCUGAGACACGAAUCCAGGCCCUACGGGGCGCAGCAGGCGCGAAAACUUUACAAUGCGGGAAACCGUGAUAAGGGAACUCUGAGUGCCCGUAAAAUCGGGCUGUCCAUCAGUUUAAAAAACUGGUGAAGAAAGGGCCGGGCAAGACCGGUGCCAGCCGCCGCGGUAAUACCGGCGGCUCGAGUGGUGGCCACUAUUACUGGGCUUAAAGCGUUCGUAGCUGGUUUGUUAAGUCUCUGGGGAAAUCUUCCGGCUUAACCGGAAGGCGUCUCAGGGAUACUGGCAGACUAGGGACCGGGAGAGGUGAGAGGUACUCCAGGGGUAGGAGUGAAAUCCUGUAAUCCUUGGGGGACCACCUGUGGCGAAGGCGUCUCACCAGAACGGCUCCGACAGUGAGGGACGAAAGCUGGGGGAGCAAACCGGAUUAGAUACCCGGGUAGUCCCAGCUGUAAACGAUGCGCGUUAGGUGUAUCGGUGACCACGAGUCACCGAGGUGCCGAAGAGAAAUCGUGAAACGUGCCGCCUGGGAAGUACNGUCGCAAGGCUGAAACUUAAAGGAAUUGGCGGGGGAGCACCACANCAGGUGGAGCCUGCGGUUUAAUUGGAUUCACCCCCGGA